GCUUUUAUAGGAAAACAGUCAAUCCAUUGGCUUUAGGAGCCGACACCCCUGGUGCAACUCCAGAUAAAAGCU
RNAcentral lists this transfer RNA (72 nucleotides) under Leptobrachella pelodytoides (Thao Asian toad). RNAcentral's name for it is "Leptolalax pelodytoides (Thao Asian toad) tRNA-Leu". It matches the Rfam family "tRNA". From Rfam's summary of the family: Transfer RNA (tRNA) molecules are approximately 80 nucleotides in length. The record is from RNAcentral. Lineage: Eukaryota; Metazoa; Chordata; Amphibia; Anura; Megophryidae.